AGAGACUUAGGAUAAUUUAGACCAAGAGCCUUCAAAGCUCUAAGUAGAAGUUAAAAUCUUCUAGUCCCUG
This 70-nucleotide transfer RNA is filed under the name Triplophysa alticeps. RNAcentral's name for it is "tRNA-Trp". It matches the Rfam family "tRNA". From Rfam's summary of the family: Transfer RNA (tRNA) molecules are approximately 80 nucleotides in length. Lineage: Eukaryota; Metazoa; Chordata; Actinopteri; Cypriniformes; Nemacheilidae. RNAcentral also lists the same sequence under 1 other name. The record is from RNAcentral.